Molecule: long non-coding RNA, 1347 nt
Filed under: Homo sapiens (human)
Lineage: Eukaryota; Metazoa; Chordata; Mammalia; Primates; Hominidae
Description: HSALNT0238876
Source: RNAcentral
UGGGAUUACAGGCGUAAGCCACUGUACCCAGUUGCAAAUAUUUUUAGUAUUGAGAAAAUUUAGCAACUAUUUCUUUCUUUUCUUUUCUCUUUCUUUCUUUCUUUCUUUCUUUCUUUCUUCUUUCUUUCUUUCUUUCUUUCUUCUUUCUUUUUUUUUUCAGAAGAUGUUUUGCUCUUGUUGCCCAGGCAGGAAUGCAAUGGCAACACCUUGGCUCACUGCAACCUCUGUUUCCAGAGUUCAAGUGAUUCUCCUGCCUCAGCCUCCUAAGUAGCCAGGAUUACAGCUUCCACCACGUCUGGCUAAUUUUUUGUAAUUUUUAGCAGAGAUGGGCACUGAAACCAGCUCAGUCAUGGAGACCGCAACCCAGCAGCACUAGACGAAUAAAAACACAGGCACAGAAAUAGAGUGCAAAGUGGGAACAGGGGGCUAACAGCCUUCAGACCUGACAGUCUUGAACAGAAUUUGACCCACCUAUUUAUUGACAGUAAGCCUGUGAUAAACAUCAUUUCUGCAGUUUAUAGAUUAACUGAAAGUAUUCUUCACAGAGAACAAAGGGACAGGCUCUGGCUUGUUAUCUGCAGCAGGGACAUGUCCUUAAGGCACAGAUCACUCAUGCAAUUGUUUGUGGUUUAGGAAUGCCUUGAGUAGUUUUCCACCCUGGGUGGGCCAGAUGUUCCUUGCCCUCAUUCUGGUAAACCAGCAACCUCCAGCGUGAGCAUCAUAGCCAUCAUGAGCAUAUCACAGUGCUGCAGAAAUCUGUUUAUGGCCAGUCUUGGGGCCUGUUCCCAGCAUGUCCCCCUUUUUGUUUUUUCAGGGCAAUAAAUACAAAGACGGCUUUAUCAAGGUUUUCUUCCACCAUCUGCGACAGCUUCUUGAUCUGUCCCCAGGUAGGUGGCUGUGUUAGACGGGGAUUGCUCGUGACAGUUGGGGUCCUCCUCAGCAUCAACUUGGACAACGCUGCCACCAGUUGGUCUUUUGGAUCCUCCCAAAACUUUUUCCUUGAUAUCUGGCUCAUAGUAGGGCUUUAGAUGUCUUGAUGGAACCCAAAUUGGCUAUUGAUUUGGUCCUGGAGAAACACAAGCAUAACCUCUGCCUCAUGUUAUUAUUUUACCUGUUUCACAAACUUUUGUUAUUGGGCCUUUCUAGCAAACCCAUUUUUCCACUUCUGCUUUUGUAGCUGGCUUCUGUAAAUGUUGUUCAGCUGCUAAUAACAAUCAGCCUUUAGGCAGGCUCAAAAAAUUUAAAGUUAAUAAUGCUAGAUUUAGUUGCAUGUAUGGAGUCCUAUAGUUUCUGUCUCCUCCUUUCUGUUUUUGCAACUGCUGUUUCAGGGAGAGAUUCAUUCUUUCC